This 74-nucleotide unclassified non-coding RNA is filed under the name Homo sapiens (human). RNAcentral describes it as "tripartite motif containing 31 (ENSG00000224542.7)". Lineage: Eukaryota; Metazoa; Chordata; Mammalia; Primates; Hominidae. The record is from RNAcentral.
AGUUGAACGAUCUCAAGAAGCUCGUUGAUUCCCUGAAGACCAAGCAGAACAUGCCACCCAGGCAGCUGCUGGAG